RNAcentral lists this transfer RNA (56 nucleotides) under Wallacidia oculata. RNAcentral's name for it is "tRNA-Ser". Lineage: Eukaryota; Metazoa; Arthropoda; Insecta; Hymenoptera; Mutillidae. The record is from RNAcentral.
GAAAUAUAAAAAUGGAUUUCUAACCCAAAAUAAAUGACUAAUAUCAUAAUAUUUCU